RNAcentral lists this ribosomal RNA (468 nucleotides) under uncultured bacterium. RNAcentral describes it as "partial 16S ribosomal RNA". It matches the Rfam family "Bacterial small subunit ribosomal RNA", at positions 28 to 507 of the family's 1533-position model. The record is from RNAcentral.
GACGAACGCUGGCGGCGUGCUUAACACAUGCAAGUCGAACGGAAAGGCCCUGCUUUUGUGGGGGGCUCGAGUGGGAAACGGGUGAGUAAACCGUGAGAAACCUGCCCUUGCCUUUGGGAUACCUCCGGGAAACUGGGGCAAAUACCGGAUAGGAGCUCCUGCGGCAGGGGGGGGGUUGGAAGGUUUCGGCGGUUGGGGAUGGACUCGCGGCUUAUCAGCUUGUUGGUGGGGUAGUGGCUUACCAAGGCUUUGACGGGUAGCCGGCCUGAGAGGGUGACCGGCCACAUUGGGACUGAGAUACGGCCCAGACUCCUACGGGAGGCAGCAGUGGGGAAUAUUGCACAAUGGGCGGAAGCCUGAUGCAGCAACGCCGCGUGCGGGAUGACGGCCUUCGGGUUGUAAACCGCUUUCGCCUGUGACGAAGCGUGAGUGACGGUAAUGGGUAAAGAAGCACCGGCUAACUACGUG